This 96-nucleotide ribosomal RNA is filed under the name Acanthosepion pharaonis. The record is from RNAcentral. Lineage: Eukaryota; Metazoa; Mollusca; Cephalopoda; Sepiida; Sepiidae.
UUAAACACCGGUUCCUAUACAAUCACCAAAGUUAAGCAAUGUUAAGCUUGGUCAGUACCUAGAUGAGUGAUGCUUGGGAAUGCCAGGUGCUGUAAG